RNAcentral lists this ribosomal RNA (189 nucleotides) under Symbiodinium sp. clade A. Its description in RNAcentral is "partial 23S ribosomal RNA". Lineage: Eukaryota; Dinophyceae; Suessiales; Symbiodiniaceae. The record is from RNAcentral.
UCAGUACAAAUAAUAUGCUGGCUCACUAAGACCACACUAAAGGACAAAAAGACCCUCUGAAGCUUUAUAGGGAUAAAAUCUAGUAUCUCCAUGCCCCCCAUCACCCAAGACACAAGAAGCGAGAAAGACAGGCAUUACUACUAUGCAACGACCGAAGUUAGUCUAAAGACUGUUUAAUUGGGGCGAUAA